This is a long non-coding RNA of Agrilus planipennis (emerald ash borer), 1262 nucleotides long. RefSeq lists it as uncharacterized. Lineage: Eukaryota; Metazoa; Arthropoda; Insecta; Coleoptera; Buprestidae. The record is from RefSeq and is a predicted model, not a curated record. The transcript is spliced from 5 exons.
CUUAUACUGAAACAGCCUAUGUCUACAUGGGUGUGGUCUUUCCUGGAUUAUAUUCUUGAUUUGCUGUUUCGUCUUCAACUUGUAAUAUCAUGCAGUUAAUUUUCGACCCAUGAGCGAGUGCAACUGGAUAUUUAUUUGAAUUCCACUGAAAUAAGAAAUUCUCUGCCACAGUAUUCCUCCUUGAGUUGGUGUACUCUUCACACCUGUAAACUUUGGAGUGUUACGUUCUAUAAUGAAUUAAGGUGAGGAUACUUGAUAUAAUUAAUUUAAAUUGCUCUUUAUUGAUCUGUUUGCUACUGUAUCUGUUUCAGAUCGACGUUGGAGAAAACAAAGAUGACGCUGUAGUUGAAAUAGUUCUUUGAUUGGCUAACAAUUGAGAGAGAUUGGAGCUGAUAUCUUUGCUUACUGAAAAGAUAAGUCGGCUCCUAUGGUGUUUUAGCUGUUAACCUUUCAUCUUAGAGGCUCUUGUAGUUAAUUAAGGAACAUUAGAAGAACUCCGGAUACCUUUAAAUUAUGAAAUUAUGGAGCAUUGGUUGAAUUAGUUCUCAUUUGCCCUGCAAAGUAGUUGUGCCCAUGGUUCUAAAGAAAGCAUGAAAGUGCCUUUUUUUCAUUGGGAACGAAGACAGUGUGCUGAAAAAGGAUUUAUGACAAUGAAGUGAUUGCUGUCCCACAAAUGAGAAGGAAUUGCAGUUAAUUUUGGUGCUACUAAAACAACUGAUGCUCUUGACGUCUUCACCUUGCAACAUUAUGCAGUUAAUUUUUGCCGUAACAAUGGGAGGCAAUUGGAAAUUAAUUAAUUUGGAUGCAACCCGAACACGAAAUUAUCUGCAGUAGUAUCCCUCCUAGAUUUGGUUGAUUUGCCCAUCACACUGGUUGACAUUAGAACGCCACUUUCUACAAUUAAUUAAGGUUAUACAAUAAAGGAGAGUGAAUUAAUGUUCAGUAUUGAAACAGCCCAUGUCUACACGGGUGUGGUCUUUCCUGGAUUAUAUUCUUGAUUUGCUAUUUCGUCUUCAAGUUGUAACAUCAUGCAGUUACUUUUCGACCCAUGAGCGAGUGCAACUGGAUAUUUAUUUGAAUUCCACUGAAAUAAGAAAUUCUCUGCCACAGUAUUCCUCCUUGAGUUGGUUUGCUUUUCACACCUGUAAACUUUGGAGUGUUACGUUCUAUAAUCAAUUAAGGUGAGGAUACUUGAUAUAAUUAAUUUUAAUUGCUCUUUAUUGAUCUGUUUGCCACCGUAUCUGUUUCAGAUCGACGUUGGA